UCGGGUUAGUGGCGGACGGGUGAGUAACGCGUGAGAAUCUGCCCUCAGGAGGGGGACAACAGCUGGAAACGGCUGCUAAUACCCCAUAUGCCGCGAGGUGAAAUGAAUUUCGCCUGAGGAUGAGCUCGCGUCUGAUUAGCUAGUUGGUGUAGGUAAUGGCUCACCAAGGCAUCGAUCAGUAGCUGGUCUGAGAGGACGAUCAGCCACACUGGGACUGAGACACGGCCCAGACUCCUACGGGAGGCAGCAGUGGGGAAUUUUCCGCAAUGGGCGAAAGCCUGACGGAGCAACGCCGCGUGAGGGAUGAAGGCCUCUGGGCUGUAAACCUCUUUUAUCAAGGAAGAAGAUCUGACGGUACUUGAUGAAUAAGCCACGGCUAAUUCCGUGCCAGCAGCCGCGGUAAUACGGGAGUGGCAAGCGUUAUCCGGAAUUAUUGGGCGUAAAGCGUCCGCAGGCGGCCCUUCAAGUCUGCUGUUAAAAAGUGGAGCUU
This 490-nucleotide ribosomal RNA is filed under the name uncultured bacterium. Its description in RNAcentral is "bacterial SSU rRNA". It matches the Rfam family "Bacterial small subunit ribosomal RNA", at positions 87 to 610 of the family's 1533-position model. The record is from RNAcentral.